AUAAACGCUGGCGGCGCACAUAAGACAUGCAAGUUGAACGGACUUAAUCGAAAUAUUUAUAUUUUGAAGCGGUUAGUGGCGGACUGGUGAGUAACGCGUAAGGAACCUGCCUAUUAGAGGGGAAUAACAGUGAGAAAUCAUUGCUAAUACCGCAUAUGCCAUAGAUAUCACAUGAUAACAGUGGGAAAGGAGCAAUCCGCUAAUAGAUGGCCUUGCGGCUGAUUAGAUAGUUGGUGGGGUAACGGCCUACCAAGUCGACGAUCAGUAGCCGGACUGAGAGGUUGAACGGCCACCUUGGGACUGAGAUACGGCCCAGACUCCUACGGGAGGCAGCAGUCGGGAAUAUUGCGCAAUGGAGGUAACUCUGACGCAGUGACGCCGCGUAUAGGAAGAAGGUUUUCGGAUUGUAAACUGUUGUCGUUAGGGAAGAGAAAGGACAGUACCUAAGGAGUAAGCUCCGGCUAACUACGUG
RNAcentral lists this ribosomal RNA (472 nucleotides) under uncultured bacterium. Its description in RNAcentral is "partial 16S ribosomal RNA". It matches the Rfam family "Bacterial small subunit ribosomal RNA", at positions 29 to 507 of the family's 1533-position model. The record is from RNAcentral.